UACGUAGGAGGCGAGCGUUGUCCGGAAUUAUUGGGCGUAAAGAGCUCGUAGGCGGUGUGUCACGUCGGCCGUGAAAACCUGGGGCUUAACUCUGGGCGUGCGGUCGAUACGGGCAUCACUAGAGUUCGGCAGGGGAGACUGGAAUUCCUGGUGUAGCGGUGAAAUGCGCAGAUAUCAGGAGGAACACCGGUGGCGAAGGCGGGUCUCUGGGCCGAUACUGACGCUGAGGAGCGAAAGCAUGGGUAGCGAACAGG
Molecule: ribosomal RNA, 254 nt
Filed under: uncultured bacterium
Lineage: Bacteria
Description: partial 16S ribosomal RNA
Rfam family: Bacterial small subunit ribosomal RNA
Source: RNAcentral